This is a long non-coding RNA of Micropterus dolomieu (smallmouth bass), 508 nucleotides long. RefSeq lists it as uncharacterized. The transcript is spliced from 3 exons. NCBI's taxonomy places the organism in Eukaryota, Metazoa, Chordata, Actinopteri, Centrarchiformes, Centrarchidae. The record is from RefSeq and is a predicted model, not a curated record.
UCCUGCAGGAGAACCUAAUACACAGCAAGAAAUGUCUGCUGUUCUGUGGUUCCAUAAUAAGAUUGUGAGAUCAGCAUUUUGAAUUGAGUGUGUGCUUGAAAGAUGAUACAGCUUGAUUCUUUACAGUGAGACAAGGGGAAAGUUCUGGCUAUCAUGUUGUCCUCCUCUCUACACUGGACAUGAACUGGAUGCAUCCUGGCAGGGUUGAGCUUGUAACACAAUUAGUACGAGGUGAGCAGGGGAGCCAGAGUCAGGCAUGCUAGACAAGGCCUGGCAAACAGAGACCUUCGAAACCUGGCUGCCAUUUUGAAGCCUGCAGGUUCCCAUGGUGCUGACUGUAGUGUAACUAAACUUGGACAUGGAUGCACCAGUUGCCAUAACAUCCUCCUCGUUGUCCCGUAGCCCACGGUGACGGCGAUGGCAAGGUGCAGCACAGCACGAGAACGUGGCAAGCAGAGCUUUGCGGAAACGUGUGUUCAUAAAGCAAUAAAUAAUUGGGUUGACGCAA